ACGGGUGAGUAACGCGUGGGAAUCUACCCAGUUCUACGGAACAACUGAGGGAAACUUCAGCUAAUACCGUAUACGCCCUACGGGGGAAAGAUUUAUCGGAAUUGGAUGAGCCCGCGUAAGAUUAGCUAGUUGGUGGGGUAAUGGCCUACCAAGGCGACGAUCUUUAGCUGGUCUGAGAGGAUGAUCAGCCACACUGGGACUGAGACACGGCCCAGACUCCUACGGGAGGCAGCAGUGGGGAAUAUUGGACAAUGGGCGCAAGCCUGAUCCAGCCAUGCCGCGUGAGUGAUGAAGGCCUUAGGGUUGUAAAGCUCUUUCAGUGGGGACGAUAAUGACGGUACCCACAGAAGAAGCCCCGGCUAACUUCGUGCCAGCAGCCGCGGUAAUACGAAGGGGGCUAGCGUUGUUCGGAUUUACUGGGCGUAAAGCGCACGUAGGCGGAUCGUUAAGUCGGGGGUGAAAUCCUGGAGCUCAACUCCAGAACUGCCUUCGAUACUGGCGAUCUUGAGUCCGGAAGAGGUGAGUGGAACUCCUAGUGUAGAGGUGGAAUUCGUAGA
This 557-nucleotide ribosomal RNA is filed under the name Rhizobiales bacterium RDB-102. RNAcentral describes it as "bacterial SSU rRNA". It matches the Rfam family "Bacterial small subunit ribosomal RNA", at positions 102 to 694 of the family's 1533-position model. The record is from RNAcentral. Lineage: Bacteria; Pseudomonadati; Pseudomonadota; Alphaproteobacteria; Hyphomicrobiales. RNAcentral also lists the same sequence under 2 other names.